AUGUGCCAUCAUAUACACACACUGUAUGUGUGGGCGUGCACAUGUGCCAUCAUAUACACACUACAUGUGUAUGUGUGGGCAUGUGCAUAUGCCAUCAUACACACUACAUGUGUAUGUGCGGGCGUACACAUAUGCCAUCAUACACACUACAUGUGUAUUGCGGGCGUGCACAUGCACCAUCACACACACACUACAUGUGUAUGUGUGGGUGUGCACAUGUGCCAUCAUAUACACACUACAUGUGUAUGUGUGGGCGUGCACAUGUGCCAUCACACACACUACAUGUGUAUGUGUGGGUGUGCACAUGCGCCAUCAUACACACACUACAUGUGUAUAUGUGGGCAUGCACAUGUGCCAUCACACACACUACAUGUGUAUGUGUGGGUGUGCACAUAUGCCAUCAUACACACACUACAUGUGUAUGUGCGGGCAUGCACAUGCGCCAUCACACACACUACAUGUGUAUGUGCGGGCGUGCACAUGCGCCAUCACACACACUACAUGUGUAUGUGUGGGUGUGCACAUGCGCCAUCAUACACACACUACAUGUGUAUGUGCGGGCAUGCACAUGCGCCAUCACACACACUACAUGUGUAUGUGCGGGCGUGCACAUGCGCCAUCACACACACUACAUGUGUAUGUGUGGGUGUGCACAUGCGCCAUCAUACACACUACAUGUGUAUAUGUGGGCAUGCACAUGCGCCAUCACACACACACUACAUGUGUAUGUGCGGGCGUGCACAUGCGCCAUCACACACACUACAUGUGUAUGUGUGGGCGUGUGCAUAUGCCAUCAUACACACUACAUGUGUAUGUGUGGGCAUGCACAUGCGCCAUCACAUACACACUACAUGUCUAUGUGCGGGCGUGUGCAUAUGCCAUCAUACACACUACAUGUGUAUGUGUAGGUGUGCACAUGUGCCAUCAUAUACACACUGUGUAUGUGUAGGCGUGCACAUGUGCCAUCAUAUACACACUACAUGUGUAUGUGCGGGCGUGCACAUGCGCCAUCACACACACAGUACAUGUGUAUGUGCGGGCGUGCACAUGUGCUAUCCAAGCCCUUUUCCCCUUUUCAUCAUGCACACAUUUUCAGUGUCAUUAGGAAAAAUUUUGUUUGUGAAUUUGGGAUGCAGAGCAACAGCAAGAGCUUGGUAUCUGCUGGUUCACUCCCCAAACGCCCGCAACGGCCCCAGGAGGCAGGAGCUCCACCCGCGUCUCCCACUGGGCGGCGGGGACUCAAGUCCUGAGCCAUCACGGCUGCCUCCCAGGCACACGAGCAGGAAGCGGGUUGGAAGCGGAGGCGGGACUCGAUCCCAGGACGCCCUGCCAUGGAAUGUGGGUCUCCCAAGCAGCGACCUGACUGCUGAGCCACGGAAUCCCACCCUGGGACUCUCUCGAGCCACACCGUGGACGCCUCCAAAGCCCUCCACCGAGGGAGGAGCGGAGCUUCCCAACGGUCACAUCACCCUUUCCCUCCACAAGGCAGAUCCCCGCCCCAAGCCGGCAAGCUCUGGCAGACUGCCCCCAGUCACUGUCCCUGACCUGAGACCACUUGCACCUGUGGAGGCCAGGUCAGUGGGCGCAGCUCGGGGCAGGAGGGGGUGUGAAGACCCCCAAGGUGGCCAACGUGGGCCGAAGAUGGUCUGUGGCUGGUUCACACCAAGGCGAUCACGGCUGCUUUGA
Long non-coding RNA from Oryctolagus cuniculus (rabbit), 1686 nucleotides. NCBI's taxonomy places the organism in Eukaryota, Metazoa, Chordata, Mammalia, Lagomorpha, Leporidae. The record is from Ensembl.